Molecule: ribosomal RNA, 450 nt
Filed under: uncultured bacterium
Lineage: Bacteria
Description: partial 16S ribosomal RNA
Rfam family: Bacterial small subunit ribosomal RNA
Source: RNAcentral
CCUACGGGGGGCAGCAGUGGGGAAUUUUGGACAAUGGGGGCAACCCUGAUCCAGCCAUGCCGCGUGCGGGAAGAAGGCCUUCGGGUUGUAAACCGCUUUUGUCAGGAGAGAAAUCUCUUGGGCUAAUACCCUGAGAGGAUGACGGUACCUGAAGAAUAAGCACCGGCUAACUACGUGCCAGCAGCCGCGGUAAUACGUAGGGUGCAAGCGUUAAGCGGAGCGUGUGGGCGUAACGCGGGAGCAGGCGGUUGAAAUCCCCGGGCGUAACCUGGGAACUGCACUUGUGACUGCACGGCUAGAGUACGGCAGAGGGGGAUGGAAUUCCGCGUGUAGCAGUGAAAUGCGUAGAUAUGCGGAGGAACACCGAUGGCGAAGGCAGUCCCCUGGGCCUGUACUGACGCUCAUGCACGAAAGCGUGGGGAGCAAACAGGAUUAGAUACCCGAGUAGUC